CCAGCAAUGGGUCUGUAUAUAGGUGCUGCAUGGCUGUCGUCAGCUCGUGUCGUGAGAUGUUGGGUUAAGUCCCGCAACGAGCGCAACCCUUAUCUCCAGUUGCUACCAUUUAGUUGAGCACUCUGGCGAAACCGCCUCGGAUAACGGGGAGGAAGGUGGGGAUGACGUCAAGUCCUCAUGGCCUUUAUGUCCAGGGCUACACACGUGCUACAAUGGCCGGUACAAACCGCUGCAACCCCGCGAGGGUGAGCUAAUCGGAAAAAGCCGGCCUCAGUUCGGAUUGGAGUCUGCAACUCGACUCCAUGAAGCUGGAAUCGCUAGUAAUCGUGGAUCAGCAUGCCACGGUGAAUACGUUCCCGGGCCUUGUACACACCGCCCGUCACAUCACGAAAGUGGGUUGCACUAGAAGUCGGUGCGCUAACCGCAAGGGAG
Molecule: ribosomal RNA, 432 nt
Filed under: Acidobacteriaceae bacterium WH13
Lineage: Bacteria; Pseudomonadati; Acidobacteriota; Terriglobia; Terriglobales; Acidobacteriaceae
Description: bacterial SSU rRNA
Rfam family: Bacterial small subunit ribosomal RNA
Source: RNAcentral